AACGAACGCUGGCGGCAGGCCUAACACAUGCAAGUCGAGCGCCCCGCAAGGGGAGCGGCGGACGGGUGAGUAACGCGUGGGAACGUGCCCUUUGCUACGGAAUAGCCUCGGGAAACUGGGAGUAAUACCGUAUAAGCCCUACGGGGGAAAGAUUUAUCGGCAAAGGAUCGGCCCGCGUUGGAUUAGGUAGUUGGUGGGGUAAUGGCCUACCAAGCCGACGAUCCAUAGCUGGUUUGAGAGGAUGAUCAGCCACACUGGGACUGAGACACGGCCCAGACUCCUACGGGAGGCAGCAGUGGGGAAUCUUAGACAAUGGGCGCAAGCCUGAUCUAGCCAUGCCGCGUGAGCGAUGAAGGCCUUAGGGUUGUAAAGCUCUUUCGUGGGGGAAGAUAAUGACUGUACCCCAAGAAGAAGCCCCGGCUAACUCCGUGCCAGCCGCCGCGGUAA
Molecule: ribosomal RNA, 447 nt
Filed under: uncultured bacterium
Lineage: Bacteria
Description: partial 16S ribosomal RNA
Rfam family: Bacterial small subunit ribosomal RNA
Source: RNAcentral